GUCAGUUAAUUAAGCACCUCAAUGAUGCCAGUGCUCUGAACCACCUUAUCUUCCAUUCUCUUGGCUUUCCCUUCAUGUCCCAACAUGGACCUUCACUGUGAAGAAGCUUGAUAAGCCAGAGCGUGGAAAGAUAUACCACCAAGACAGACUGAGCCUGACUCAAAGUGAAGUCGCAAAGAAACGUGAUUAAGAGACAAACUCCAUCUUGAUCACCAGACCACAUCUUCGGGAAUUCCACCUCAUUUCGGAAUAAAAACACUUCACUUCGUGCCA
Long non-coding RNA from Felis catus (domestic cat), 273 nucleotides. RefSeq lists it as uncharacterized. The record is from RefSeq and is a predicted model, not a curated record. The transcript is spliced from 2 exons. NCBI's taxonomy places the organism in Eukaryota, Metazoa, Chordata, Mammalia, Carnivora, Felidae.